Molecule: ribosomal RNA, 433 nt
Filed under: uncultured bacterium
Lineage: Bacteria
Description: partial 16S ribosomal RNA
Rfam family: Bacterial small subunit ribosomal RNA
Source: RNAcentral
AACGAACGCUGGCGGCAUGCCUAACACAUGCAAGUCGAACGAGACCUUCGGGUCUAGUGGCGCAAGGGUGCGUAACGCGUGGGAACCUGCCCUUAGGUUCGGAAUAACUCCCCGAAAGGGGUGCUAAUACCGGAUAAUGUCUUCGGACCAAAGAUUUAUCGCCUUUGGAUGGGCCCGCGUUGGAUUAGCUAGUUGGUAGGGUAAAAGCCUACCAAGGCGACGAUCCAUAGCUGGUCUGAGAGGAUGAUCAGCCACACUGGGACUGGGACACGGCCCAGACUCCUACGGGAGGCAGCAGUGGGGAAUAUUGGACAAUGGGCGAAAGCCUGAUCCAGCAAUGCCGCGUGAGUGAUGAAGGCCUUAGGGUUGUAAAGCUCUUUUACCCGGGAUGAUAAUGACAGUACCGGGAGAAUAAGCUCCGGCUAACUCCGUG